This 496-nucleotide ribosomal RNA is filed under the name uncultured bacterium. RNAcentral's name for it is "partial 16S ribosomal RNA". It matches the Rfam family "Bacterial small subunit ribosomal RNA", at positions 28 to 506 of the family's 1533-position model. The record is from RNAcentral.
GAUGAACGCUGGCGGCGUGCCUAAUACAUGCAAGUCGAGCGAACAGACGAGGAGCUUGCUCCUCGGACGUUAGCGGCGGACGUGUGAGUAACACGUGGAUAACCUACCUGUAAUACUGGGAUCACUUCGGGAAACCGGCGCUAAUACCGGAUAAUCUAUUGAACCGCAUGGGUCAAUGGUGAAAGACGGUUUUGCUGUCACUUCUAGAUGGAUCCGCGCCGCAUUGGCUAGUUGGUGAGUUAACGGCUUACCAAGGCAACGAUGCGUAGCCGACGUGAGGGGGGGAACGCCCACACUGGAAGUGACAGACGGCCCUGAGACCGACGUGCGGCAGCAGUAGCGAAUCGUCCGCACAGUGCGAAAUCUUGACGGAUGAACGGAGCGUGAGUGAAGAAGCGCCUCGGACGGUAAAACGCCCUUAUGAGUGUAGACCAAAUGCGUAAGUAACGAUGCGCGUCUUGACGGUAUCGAUACAGAAAGCCACGGCUAACUACGU